CGGGCGGGAGGCGUUCGAGUAACAGAGAGGGUGAGGUCGCUGAGCUGGCCGGCGCCUCGGGUCUUCUGGGGCCGCGAAGGUGCUUUCUGCUGAGGCAGGCUGCGGCUUCCGGGUCUCCCACCCAAAGCGCGGUCCCAGGGGUUCCCCGUGGAGCCUUGCGACUUCUGUCCCCGCCCUCCGUCUAGGCCACGGUGGCCCUUUAGACGUGAUGGGAGUCAGGUUUCCAACCUGCCUCCUAGGACAGGAUAGGGGCUGAUGCUGCCGAAGGAGACCGUGGAGAGGACGCAGACAGGAGUCGCCCGUUAGUGCGGGACUCUUUUAAGGCGCCACACCUGUUCAGAUGGAGCAGCGUGCUAGUCACCCUAACAGAAAAGGUCUGUUGUCCAUGGAGAGGUCCCGUACCCUCAUCCUUCGGAUCCCAGCCGAGACAGGAUCGCUUCUGGGGAACACGUUCCCCAGCUGCACAGACGAGGUUAUAGGUUAGGCGCUCUUGUAGCACUUACGGGAUGCGAUAAGGUGCGUGCUCGAUCACUUAGUGACUGUCUACACUGCAACACCGUCAGUUGCGUGAGGGUCGCGAGCACGUGUGUUUAGCGUGCUGUGGUGUCAGCGGUGGACGCUUCACAGGCACUCGGCUGUCUCCCAAAGAGGAAAGUAAUGCUGUGCCUUUUUGUCGAGCCAAACCCUCCCCUAGCUUUAUCAAUCUUCAAGCAAGUUCCCCACUGGCCACAUUCCUGAACGUCCGGACAGCAAAGCUGCCCUCAGGAGUCGACCCCAAGCCCAAGGAAUGCCUGGGACUUCUGGAACGUAUGUAUGCCAAUCUCCAGCUUCAGACCCAGCUCGCUCAACAACAGAUGGCUAUUUUGGAAAAUUUACAAGCAUCUAUGACACAUCUGGCUCCUGGGAGGGGAAGCAAGAACUCUGCCCUCCCGGCCUUACCCCGUAAUCUGUUGCAAAAUCGCCUGCCCCCCAUCCAGUAAAUGACUUGUGGAACAAA
Molecule: RNA transcript, 997 nt
Organism: Prionailurus viverrinus (fishing cat)
Lineage: Eukaryota; Metazoa; Chordata; Mammalia; Carnivora; Felidae
Gene: TSACC
Gene name: TSSK6 activating cochaperone
Exons: 6
Source: RefSeq, a predicted model, not a curated record